CGAAUGCUGACAUAAGUAACGAUAAAGCGGGUGAAAAGCCCGCUCGCCGGAAGACCAAGGGUUCCUGUCCAACGUUAAUCGGGGCAGGGUGAGUCGACCCCUAAGGCGAGGCCGAAAGGCGUAGUCGAUGGGAAACAGGUUAAUAUUCCUGUACUUGGUGUUACUGCGAAGGGGGGACGGAGAAGGCUAUGUUGGCCGGGCGACGGUUGUCCCGGUUUAAGCGUGUAGGCUGGUUUUCCAGGCAAAUCCGGAAAAUCAAGGCUGAGGCGUGAUGACGAGGCACUACGGUGCUGAAGCAACAAAUGCCCUGCUUCCAGGAAAAGCCUCUAAGCAUCAGGUAACAUCAAAUCGUACCCCAAACCGACACAGGUGGUCAGGUAGAGAAUACCAAGGCGCUUGAGAGAACUCGGGUGAAGGAACUAGGCAAAAUGGUGCCGUAACUUCGGGAGAAGGCACGCUGAUAUGUAGGUGAAGUCCCUUGCGGAUGGAGCUGAAAUCAGUCGAAGAUACCAGCUGGCUGCAACUGUUUAUUAAAAACACAGCACUGUGCAAACACGAAAGUGGACGUAUACGGUGUGACGCCUGCCCGGUGCCGGAAGGUUAAUUGAUGGGGUCAGCGCAAGCGAAGCUCUUGAUCGAAGCCCCGGUAAACGGCGGCCGUAACUAUAACGGUCCUAAGGUAGCGAAAUUCCUUGUCGGGUAAGUUCCGACCUGCACGAAUGGCGUAAUGAUGGCCAGGCUGUCUCCACCCGAGACUCAGUGAAAUUGAACUCGCUGUGAAGAUGCAGUGUACCCGCGGCAAGACGGAAAGACCCCGUGAACCUUUACUAUAGCUUGACACUGAACAUUGAGCCUUGAUGUGUAGGAUAGGUGGGAGGCUUUGAAGUGUGGACGCCAGUCUGCAUGGAGCCGACCUUGAAAUACCACCCUUUAAUGUUUGAUGUUCUAACGUUGACCCGUGAUCCGGGUUGCGGACAGUGUCUGGUGGGUAGUUUGACUGGGGCGGUCUCCUCCUAAAGAGUAACGGAGGAGCACGAAGGUUGGCUAAUCCUGGUCGGACAUCAGGAGGUUAGUGCAAUGGCAUAAGCCAGCUUGACUGCGAGCGUGACGGCGCGAGCAGGUGCGAAAGCAGGUCAUAGUGAUCCGGUGGUUCUGAAUGGAAGGGCCAUCGCUCAACGGAUAAAAGGUACUCCGGGGAUAACAGGCUGAUACCGCCCAAGAGUUCAUAUCGACGGCGGUGUUUGGCACCUCGAUGUCGGCUCAUCACAUCCUGGGGCUGAAGUAGGUCCCAAGGGUAUGGCUGUUCGCCAUUUAAAGUGGUACGCGAGCUGGGUUUAGAACGUCGUGAGACAGUUCGGUCCCUAUCUGCCGUGGGCGCUGGAGAACUGAGGGGGGCUGCUCCUAGUACGAGAGGACCGGAGUGGACGCAUCACUGGUGUUCGGGUUGUCAUGCCAAUGGCACUGCCCGGUAGCUAAAUGCGGAAGAGAUAAGUGCUGAAAGCAUCUAAGCACGAAACUUGCCCCGAGAUGAGUUCUCCCUGACUCCUUGAGAGUCCUGAAGGAACGUUGAAGACGACGACGUUGAUAGGCC
This 1591-nucleotide ribosomal RNA is filed under the name Escherichia coli. RNAcentral's name for it is "partial 23S ribosomal RNA". It matches the Rfam family "Bacterial large subunit ribosomal RNA", at positions 1291 to 2862 of the family's 2925-position model. Lineage: Bacteria; Pseudomonadati; Pseudomonadota; Gammaproteobacteria; Enterobacterales; Enterobacteriaceae. The record is from RNAcentral.